This 253-nucleotide ribosomal RNA is filed under the name uncultured bacterium. RNAcentral's name for it is "partial 16S ribosomal RNA". It matches the Rfam family "Bacterial small subunit ribosomal RNA", at positions 524 to 776 of the family's 1533-position model. RNAcentral also lists the same sequence under 1 other name. The record is from RNAcentral.
GACAGAGGGUGCAAACGUUGCUCGGAUUUACUGGGCGUAAAGCGCAUGUAGGCGGGCGAUUAAGUCGGGUGUGAAAUCCCUGGGCUCAACCUAGGAACUGCAUCCGAAACUGAUCACCUUGAGUAGUGGAGAGGAAAGCGGAAUUCCGGGUGUAGAGGUGAAAUUCGUAGAUAUCCGGAGGAACACCAGUGGCGAAGGCGGCUUUCUGGACACUAACUGACGCUGAGAUGCGAAAGCGUGGGGAGCAAACAGG